RNAcentral lists this ribosomal RNA (496 nucleotides) under uncultured bacterium. RNAcentral describes it as "partial 16S ribosomal RNA". It matches the Rfam family "Bacterial small subunit ribosomal RNA", at positions 29 to 507 of the family's 1533-position model. The record is from RNAcentral.
AUGAACGCUGGCGGCGUGCCUAAUACAUGCAAGUCGAGCGAACAGACGAGGAGCUUGCUCCUCUGACGUUAGCGGCGGACGGGUGAGUAACACGUGGAUAACCUACCUAUAAGACUGGGAUAACUUCGGGAAACCGGAGCUAAUACCGGAUAAUAUAUUGAACCGCAUGGUUCAAUAGUGAAAGACGGUUUUGCUGUCACUUAUAGAUGGAUCCGCGCCGCAUUAGCUAGUUGGUAAGGUAACGGCUUACCAAGGCAACGAUGCGUAGCCGACCUGAGAGGGUGAUCGGCCACACUGGAACUGAGACACGGUCCAGACUCCUACGGGAGGCAGCAGUAGGGAAUCUUCCGCAAUGGGCGAAAGCCUGACGGAGCAACGCCGCGUGAUUGAUGAAGGUCUUCGGAUCGUAAAACUCUGUUAUUAGGGAAGAACAAAUGUGUAAGUAACUAUGCACGUCUUGACGGUACCUAAUCAGAAAGCCACGGCUAACUACGUG